UCGGGAAUUUUGCGCAAUGGACGAAAGUCUGACGCAGCAACGCCGCGUGAGGGAUGAAGGCCUUCGGGUUGUAAACCUCUUUUUCCAGGGAAGACGUCAAGGUCGAAUAAACCUUGGUAAUGACGGUACCGGAAGAAUAAGCACCGGCUAACUAC
This 155-nucleotide ribosomal RNA is filed under the name uncultured bacterium. RNAcentral describes it as "partial 16S ribosomal RNA". It matches the Rfam family "Bacterial small subunit ribosomal RNA", at positions 355 to 504 of the family's 1533-position model. The record is from RNAcentral.